This 377-nucleotide unclassified non-coding RNA is filed under the name uncultured bacterium. RNAcentral's name for it is "contains 16S-23S intergenic spacer region". The record is from RNAcentral.
UCCGGUUUGUCACCGGCAGUCUCGCAUGAGUCCCCAACUAAAUGCUGGCAACAUGCGACGGGGGUUGCGCUCGUUGCGGGACUUAACCCAACAUCUCACGACACGAGCUGACGACAGCCAUGCAGCAUCUGUGCAUGAGCUCCGAAGAGCGGCCCUGAUCUCUCAGAGCCUUCCCAUGCAUGUCAAGCCCAGGUAAGGUUCUUCGCGUUGCGUCGAAUUAAACCACAUGCUCCACCGCUUGUGCGGGCCCCCGUCAAUUUCUUUGAGUUUUAGCCUUGCGGCCGUACUCCCCAGGCGGAUGACUUAACGCGUUAGCUGCGCCACCGAAACGCUACGCGCCCCGACAGCUAGUCAUCAUCGUUUACGGCGUGGACUAC